RNAcentral lists this unclassified non-coding RNA (1128 nucleotides) under Hevea brasiliensis (rubber tree). Lineage: Eukaryota; Viridiplantae; Streptophyta; Magnoliopsida; Malpighiales; Euphorbiaceae. The record is from RNAcentral.
CGAAGAUGAAGAUGAUUACAGCUCCGAUACUCGGCCUCCUCGCCAUCAUCGGGGUGCUGACUCCUUCUAUCUUGGCGAUUCCCUAUCGCAAUUCUCUUAAGUCCGGGGAAAGUCUGAAAGCCUUCGAAGCUCUGAGCUACAAGAAUUUCCUUUUCAUAAUGCAGCCAAACUGCAACCUCGUCCUCUACCACGAUUCCACCGCAGUGUGGUCGACCAAGACCGGCGGCCAAGGCUACGGUUGUUACGCCACAUUGCACGACGGCGGCAACCUGGUCGUCUACAGCCCUAAGGCCGUACCCCUGUGGCAGAGCGGCAACGGAACCACAGGAGGGGAAUAUGUCAUCCUCCUUCAGAAGAACGGAGAUGCCGUCAUCUUCGGGACUGCUAAAUGGUGGGUGGUAUGGCCUACAUUGAACCUAGUCGCCUCUAACACCACAGCGCCGCCAUUAGAAGGUAAUGAAGAAGCAACCCUAUUAUCAGCAAUGUCUCAAACUAAUAAUGUGCCGUACACCUUGGAAAGCCCAGAAACUAGUGAAUCCCUCCCUUGGGAACAUAAUGUUCUGUACACUGGGGAAACCCUAAAAACUGGUGAAUCCCUCACUUGGGAGACGUUCAGAUGCACGAUGCAAACUGACUGCAACUUUGCUUGCUGGAAUGGUACUGUACUUAUCUGGUCUACCGGUACCUCCGGCAAAGGCAGUGGAUGCUACCUAAAGUUUCAGAGGGAUGCAAAGUUCGACAUCUACAACAGUGCCAAUGGUCUUGUGUGGCGGCUCCCAUUUCGCUGGCCGGAAGCAAGUUACAUCUUGAUCGUACAGAAAAAACCAAUCAUCGGCAUAUAUGGCCCUCAGAGCUGGUCGACCAACUGGGACGGCCUUACCCAUCACUCCACUGCACAACCCAAUAACCAGAAAAUCAGCAUGGUUACCGGCAAGUGAUGGAUCUGGCUGCCGGACUACUUUCAGUUUGAGAAUAAUGUGCACUGUUUGUUGUUUGCUUUCAGUUUGGAAUAAUCUUCACUGUUGUUCGAAUUUAGUUCCGCUAGUACCAUGGUGUUGUAGCAGUAAUAUCCCCGUGUAAUCGCUGGUUUAUUUUAAUUAAGAUCCGUUGUAGCAGUAAUAUCCCCGU